This 1199-nucleotide unclassified non-coding RNA is filed under the name Hevea brasiliensis (rubber tree). The record is from RNAcentral. Lineage: Eukaryota; Viridiplantae; Streptophyta; Magnoliopsida; Malpighiales; Euphorbiaceae.
AAGUGGUUACACCUAAUCUGCAUUCAUCACUUAAAUGCAUGCAUCUAUCAAUGUAAUCACAAUAAGAUUAAAAGCAAGUUCUAGAGAUACAAUAUUCAUGAAUGAAUACCGCACACAACAAAGAAAUAGAUUGAUAUUGAUAUUGAUAUUUGAAUCAUAGGCUCAAAAGUUCACAAAAGGUAUAUUGAUCUUCCAUAUUAGAACAUUCAACCUUUCAAUUCAAUUACCACAUGAAGAAAGCCUAAGUUGCAACUCAACUCAUUCAUUUUAUCCAUGCUCUCAUCAAGCUAGAUCAAUUUAUACUCAAAACAUACCUAAUCUCAUUAAUCUUGGAAAGCACUUAAAACACACAAAAGACAUAACAUGUAGACACAAAAAAUUUGAAAAAGAAAACGCAAAAAGACAUUGACACACAUAUAAACACAUGGAAAAGAUACUAAUCCCUUCCCCACACUUAAAACUUGCAUUGUCCUCUAUGUAAGGGUAAGGAAAUAGAAACAAAAAUAAAAGUAGAAAGGAUAAAAGCAAAUAUGAUUAUUAAAGAUCCUUGGGUUGCCUCCCAAGUAGCGCAUUUAUUUAAAGUCAUUUGCUUAACUUCAUACCUUUCUUCAUUCUCCAUACUUGGGGCCCUCUAAGUCCAUCUUUUCAACAUUAUGCUCUUAAAAGCUCUCAUAGUAUGGCUUCAACCUAUGCCCCUUCACCUUGAACACUUCGUUUGUUGCUACACUUUGAAUUUCAACUCCACCAUGAUAAAAAAACAUUAUUAACAACAAAAGGAUCAACCCACCUAUAAUGCAACUUAGAAAAAGUUUAAGUUUCGAGUGGGAUAAGAGUACUUUCUAACCAACUACAAACUUCUUCUUUCUAACUAUGUUGUCAUAGAAUGCUUUAGUCUUCUCUUUGUAGAUUCUAGAUUCUCAUAUGCAUUAUUCUUAAUUUUUUUCCAACUAUUGCAAUUGCAACUUCCUAUGUAUUCCAUCAUUAUCAAUGUUCAUGUUGCAUUACUUAAUAGCCCAAAAUGCCUUGUGCUCAAUUUCCACAGGGAGAUGAUAGGGCUUAUCAUACACCAAUUGAUAAGGACACAUACCAAUUGGAGUCUUGUAUACGGUCCUAUAUGCCCACAGUGCAUCAUCCAACCUCAAACUCUAAUCUUUCCUUGAAGGAUUAACUGUCUUCUCUAGAAUGGGCCUAAUCUCUCG